AACGAACGCUGGCGGCAUGCCUAACACAUGCAAGUCGAACGAGACCUUCGGGUCUAGUGGCGCACGGGUGCGUAACGCGUGGGAACCUGCCCUUAGGUUCGGAAUAACUCCCCGAAAGGGGUGCUAAUACCGGAUAAUGUCUUCGGACCAAAGAUUUAUCGCCUUUGGAUGGGCUCGCGUUGGAUUAGCUAGUUGGUAGGGUAAAAGCCUACCAAGGCGACGAUCCAUAGCUGGUCUGAGAGGAUGAUCAGCCACACAGGGACUGAGACACGGCCCAGACUCCUACGGGAGGCAGCAGUGGGGAAUAUUGGACAAUGGGCGAAAGCCUGAUCCAGCAAUGCCGCGUGAGUGAUGAAGGCCUUAGGGUUGUAAAGCUCUUUUACCCGGGAUGAUAAUGACAGUACCGGGAGAAUAAGCUCCGGCUAACUCCGUG
RNAcentral lists this ribosomal RNA (433 nucleotides) under uncultured bacterium. RNAcentral describes it as "partial 16S ribosomal RNA". It matches the Rfam family "Bacterial small subunit ribosomal RNA", at positions 29 to 507 of the family's 1533-position model. The record is from RNAcentral.